This 459-nucleotide ribosomal RNA is filed under the name uncultured bacterium. RNAcentral describes it as "partial 16S ribosomal RNA". It matches the Rfam family "Bacterial small subunit ribosomal RNA", at positions 338 to 795 of the family's 1533-position model. The record is from RNAcentral.
CCUACGGGUGGCAGCAGUGAGGAAUAUUGGUCAAUGGACGCAAGUCUGAACCAGCCAUGCCGCGUGCAGGAAGACGGCUCUAUGAGUUGUAAACUGCUUUUGUACGAGGGUAAACGCAGAUACGCGUAGCGGUCUGAAAGUAUCGUAAGAAUAAGGAUCGGCUAACUCCGUGCCAGCAGCCGCGGUAAUACGGAGGAUUCAAGCGUUAUCCGGAUUUAUUGGGUUGAAAGGGUGCGUAGGCGGAAUGCCAAGUCAGCGGUAAAAUCCCGGGGCUCACCCUCGCUCCGCCGUUGAAACUUGCGUUCUUGAGUGGGCGAGAUGUAUGCGGACUGCGUGGUGUAGCGGUGACAUGCUUAGAUAUCACGCAGACCUCCGAUUGCGAAGGCAGCAUACCGGCGCCCAACUGACGCUGACGCACGAACGCGUGGGUAUCGCACAGGAUUAGAUACCCCUGUAGUC